GUGGGGAAUCUUCCGCAAUGGACGAAAGUCUGACGGAGCGACGCCGCGUGAGUGAAGAAGGCCUUCGGGUCGUAAAGCUCUGUCAUCAGGGACGAACGGCCGGUGGAGUGGAAAGCCACCGGAUUGACGGUACCUGAGAAGGAAGCCACGGCUAACUACGUGCCAGCAGCCGCGGUAAUACGUAGGUGGCAAGCGUUGUCCGGAAUUAUUGGGCGUAAAGCGCGCGCAGGUGGGAUCUUAAGUCUAUUUUGAAAGUUCGGAGCUUAACUCCGUGAUGGGAUAGAAACUGGGAUUCUUGAGUACCGGAGAGGAAAGCGGAAUUCCCCGUGUAGCGGUGAAAUGCAUAGAUAUGGGGAGGAACACCAGUGGCGAAGGCGGCUUUCUGGACGGUGUCUGACACUGAGGCGCGAAAGCCAGGGGAGCGAACGGGAUUAGAUACCCCGGUAGUCC
Molecule: ribosomal RNA, 450 nt
Filed under: uncultured bacterium
Lineage: Bacteria
Description: partial 16S ribosomal RNA
Rfam family: Bacterial small subunit ribosomal RNA
Source: RNAcentral